RNAcentral lists this ribosomal RNA (491 nucleotides) under uncultured bacterium. RNAcentral describes it as "bacterial SSU rRNA". It matches the Rfam family "Bacterial small subunit ribosomal RNA", at positions 417 to 902 of the family's 1533-position model. The record is from RNAcentral.
UUCGGGUUGUAAACCUCUUUCAGCACAGACGAAGCGCAAGUGACGUGUAUGUGCAGAAGAAGGACCGGCCAACUACGUGCCAGCAGCCGCGGUAAUACGUAGGGUCCGAGCGUUGUCCGGAAUUAUUGGGCGUAAAGGGCUCGUAGGCGGUCUGUCGCGUCGGGAGUGAAAACCAGGUGCUUAACACCUGGCCUGCUUUCGAUACGGGCAGACUAGAGGUACUCAGGGGAGAAUGGAAUUCCUGGUGUAGCGGUGAAAUGCGCAGAUAUCAGGAGGAACACCGGUGGCGAAGGCGGUUCUCUGGGAGUAAUCCUGACGCUGAGGAGCGAAAGUGUGGGGAGCGAACAGGAUUAGAUACCCUGGUAGUCCCACAACCGGUUAAAACGUUGGGCGGCUAGGUGUGGGGAAUCCAUUCCACGGGUUCCGUGCCGCAAGCCUAAAGCAUAAGCGGCCCCGGCCCUAGGGAGAACCGCCCGGCAAGCUUAAAACUC